GUGUAAUGGAUGUAGUGUUUGUGUGUAUUAGAUACUGUUUGUACAGUGAAUGCAGAGUGUGUGUUUGUGAAGCGGAUGCAGUGUGUAUAGUGAACGCAGAGUGUGUUUGAGUAGUGGCUAUACUGUGUGUACAGUGAUGUAGUGUGUGUUUGUGUAGUGGAUGUAGUGUUUGUAUGUACUAGAUGAAAUGUGUUUAGUGGGUGCAGUGUCUGUAGUGGAUGUAGUGCAUGUAUUAGACGCAGUGUCUGUGUAUAGUGAAUGCAGAGUGUUUCAAUGUGUGGUGGAUGUAGUGUGUGUACUGUGAAUACAGGAUGUUUGUGUAGUGGAUGCUGUGUGUACAGUUAAUGCAGAGUGUAUGUUAGUGUAGUGAAUGCAGAGUGUGUGUCAGUAUAGUGAAUCCAGAGUGUAUGCAUAGUUUAGUGAAUGCAGAGUGUGUGUUAGUGUGUAGUGUGUGUGUGUUGUGUUAGUGUAUGCAGUGUGUUGUGUUAGUGUAUGCAGUGUGUGUGUGUUGUGUUAGUGUAUGCAGUGUGUUGUGUUAGUGUAUGCAGUGUGUAUGCAGUGUUAGUGUAUGCAGUGUAUGCAGUGUUAGUGUAUGCAGUGUGUGUUGUGUUAGUGUAUGCAGUGUGUGUGUGUGUUGUGUUAGUGUAUGCAGUGUGUGUGUUGUGUUAGUGUAUGCAGUGUAUGUGUGUUAUUGUAUGCAGUGUGUGUUGUGUUAGUGUAUGCAGUGUGUGUUGUGUUGGUGAAUGCAGUGUAUGUGUUAUUGUAUGCAGUGUAUGUUGUGUGUGUUGUGUUAGUAGUGUAUGUGUGUGUGUGUGUUGUGUUAGUGUAUGGUGUGUGUGUUGUGUUAGUGUAUGCAGUGUGUGUGUUGUGUUAGUGUAUGCAGUGUGUGUGUGUGUG
This is a non-coding RNA of Pelobates cultripes (western spadefoot toad), 897 nucleotides long. Lineage: Eukaryota; Metazoa; Chordata; Amphibia; Anura; Pelobatidae. The record is from the annotation of a GenBank genome assembly.